Molecule: long non-coding RNA, 290 nt
Organism: Silurus meridionalis
Lineage: Eukaryota; Metazoa; Chordata; Actinopteri; Siluriformes; Siluridae
Exons: 2
Source: RefSeq, a predicted model, not a curated record
CACAGCAAACACCAGUCAGAAGUUUUCCACACCUUCUCCUGCAUUACAGAUGUGAAAAACGUACCUCUCGGCUCAUGGGUGGUAGAUACCACACGCUGCAGACGAUGGCCCAGCUGCUCAUCAUGUGGAGGAGAUAAUUCACCAUGCCAAACUUACUGCUGUUCCAGAAAGCAUCUCCGAACCUUGGGUCAUACUGUCAAAACACACACACACAAGUUUAGAUUAAUCUACUCAUCUUAGGAUUGUAAUCGUUACAGAUGUUGAACAUCAUUAAACCUGGUGACUCUAAA